AGCUUUCAAAAUCCUCAUCAGCCCUAAACACCGGUCUGAGUGGUUGUAAUAGGAGGAAAAGUAAAGUUGAAACUGGCUCAGAUUCUCUUGUGACACACGAGCUGUUCUAAACAAAA
RNAcentral lists this small nucleolar RNA (116 nucleotides) under Echinops telfairi (small Madagascar hedgehog). RNAcentral's name for it is "Small nucleolar RNA SNORA61 (ENSETEG00000026223.1)". The record is from RNAcentral. Lineage: Eukaryota; Metazoa; Chordata; Mammalia; Afrosoricida; Tenrecidae.